UACAAUUACAUUUACAGUGUAUGUAACCAGUUUCAACAUAUGUGGAUAAAGAAACCAACAAAUCAUUGGCCCAAUCUUAAAAAAGAUGAUCCGUAUGGUUAGAGCUGUUGCCCACUAUUAUGUACAUUCAUUCAAUCAAGACUACAGGUGGUGUUGAUUAUACACUUUCGCAAUCAAGACUACAGGUAGUGUUGAUGAUACACUUUCUACCAAAUGAAUAUGAUGCUGCCUCACACACGAGCUGAUACAAGAAUUAUGAAGAAAAUAAAAAGGAUACAUACAAUUUACGGUGAACAUUGAACAGCACCAUUCCAACUUCCAAGUGGGUAUGAC
This 333-nucleotide long non-coding RNA is filed under the name Setaria italica (foxtail millet). Its description in RNAcentral is "long non-coding RNA (SITA_LNC000356)". Lineage: Eukaryota; Viridiplantae; Streptophyta; Magnoliopsida; Poales; Poaceae. The record is from RNAcentral.